Molecule: ribosomal RNA, 253 nt
Filed under: uncultured bacterium
Lineage: Bacteria
Description: partial 16S ribosomal RNA
Rfam family: Bacterial small subunit ribosomal RNA
Source: RNAcentral
UACGUAGGGGGCAAGCGUUGUCCGGAUUUAUUGGGCGUAAAGAGCGUGUAGGCGGCUAGGUAGGUCCGUUGUGAAAACUCGAGGCUCAACCUCGAGACGCCGAUGGAAACCAUUUGGCUAGAGUCCGGAAGAGGAGAGUGGAAUUCCUGGUGUAGCGGUGAAAUGCGCAGAUAUCAGGAGGAACACCGGUGGCGAAGGCGGGUCUCUGGGCCGUAACUGACGCUGAGGAGCGAAAGCGUGGGGAGCGAACAGG